CACGUAGGGGGCGAGCGUUGUCCGGAUUUAUUGGGCGUAAAGAGCUCGUAGGCGGCCAACUAAGUCGGACGUGAAAUCCCUCGGCUUAACCGGGGAACUGCGUCCGAUACUGGAUGGCUUGAGUUCGGGAGAGGGAUGCGGAAUUCCAGGUGUAGCGGUGAAAUGCGUAGAUAUCUGGAGGAACACCGGUGGCGAAGGCGGCAUCCUGGACCGACACUGACGCUGAUGAGCGAAAGCCAGGGGAGCAAACGGG
RNAcentral lists this ribosomal RNA (253 nucleotides) under uncultured bacterium. RNAcentral describes it as "partial 16S ribosomal RNA". It matches the Rfam family "Bacterial small subunit ribosomal RNA", at positions 524 to 776 of the family's 1533-position model. The record is from RNAcentral.